RNAcentral lists this long non-coding RNA (853 nucleotides) under Equus caballus (horse). RNAcentral's name for it is "lncRNA (ENSECAG00000031622.2)". The record is from RNAcentral. Lineage: Eukaryota; Metazoa; Chordata; Mammalia; Perissodactyla; Equidae.
GUUUAAUGAUGGUGAAAAACGCAGUGUCUUUACUCUGAAUAUGAGAUUAUUCACAUCGAUGUUACGUUGAGUCUACAAUGUUUGAGCAGGAAGGGCCUUUGCGAUGAUGUAACACAACAUUGUCCAUUUCAAGAAUCCUCUCUACAACAACCCUGUAAGAUGGUCAUCCAUCCUCUCCAAAGAGACCUUGAGGAAGUGAACUAUUAUUGGUUCCUGACAAGAUAUAAACAGAGGCUACAGUCAAGUCUAUACGUCAGUAUCUAACGGACUCACACCUCAAAUGGAGGACUUUGAAGCCAGCGAUAAACAGCACCAGACUUUUGGCUCUCUUGGCAUUAGGAGCUACACUAGGGAACUGGAUGCAAUCACCUUUUAAAAAUUAUUGUUUACUUCAUUCCUAUGUAGAGGGAUAUGACCACAAGGUCAUUUCACCAUAUUAUCAUCACUGAGAUCACAACUAAUUUUCAUGGAAGGACCAUCAGGUGGAGAGAUAAAGGCUUCCUGAGGAUACAGCAAUUCAGCGGAGACCUGGAGAUAAGAAGGAGGCCCCGAACUAGCAAGAGCAUGGACACAGAGAUGAGAAAAUGGCCUGGACUGAGAUGCGGUAGAGGAUAAAACGUCAGAAACAAGGACAGGUAGAGUGGCUGGCGAGGGAGAUGGAAAACAAGAAGGGAGUGGUGUUCAGGAAUGAACUGAAGAGUGUUUCAGGGAGAGAGAUCAUCUGCGUGGAUGGCUACUGGGGAGAAGGGUCAAUGAAAACAGGAAAGCCCCUGUUGGGUUAUAUGGAAGGAGGACCUGGUAUAUAUCUGAAUCCCCAGUACUUGGCAUAUUAAAAAACUUAGUAUAUGCUUAU